RNAcentral lists this ribosomal RNA (416 nucleotides) under uncultured marine bacterium. RNAcentral's name for it is "bacterial SSU rRNA". It matches the Rfam family "Bacterial small subunit ribosomal RNA", at positions 359 to 785 of the family's 1533-position model. The record is from RNAcentral.
AAUAUGGACAGAGGAGGCAACUCUGAUGCAGUCAUGCAGUGUGUAGGAAGGUUACCUUAUGUGUUGUAAAAGAAUGAUAUAGAAGAAGAAUCCCCGAUUGUAUAUCGGUCUGCCGGUAAUAUACGAAUAAUGAUUGGCUACAUCCGUGCCAGCAGCCGCGGAAAUACGGGGGAUUCUUUGUUAUCCGGAAUCAUAAGUGCAAACGGUUCGUUGGCGAAUUUAUAAGUCAAAUGUGAAAGUUUUCGGUCAACCGGAAAAUGCCAUUGAUUGGCAAGACUGUAGAGAGUGAAGAAUUAGAAUGUGUAGUGUAGCGGUGAAGUGCAUAUAGAUUAAACAGAAUGCGGAGGGCGAAGGCAGAUCCAUAACAAUAUAUUCCGCUAAAGGACGAAGGGGUGGGAAGAGAACUGAUCCCCUAC